This is a non-coding RNA of Microcebus murinus (gray mouse lemur), 2162 nucleotides long. The record is from RefSeq and is a predicted model, not a curated record. NCBI's taxonomy places the organism in Eukaryota, Metazoa, Chordata, Mammalia, Primates, Cheirogaleidae.
UUCCAAAUUUGAAAGCCCACUUUAUAUUCUACAGGGCAGAUUCAGGCUGGAGGAAUCUUAUCCUAACACUCACAUGCUCCUACAGAUUGCUUUUUGACCGUGAAUACCUCGUUUUAUAGUCCCAUUUUUCUAAGUGAUAUCCUGAACUAAGGAAUAAUUUAGAUAAUAAAUCCAUUUCAAUUACUGUCCAUUAGAAGACAGGAAAACAUUAAACCCAACCAAAGCUGUGGGAAUUAUGGGUUGCCCUUUCAGGUGGAAAUUCAUUUAAUGCGGCCAUAGGUAACACCACUCGAUCCAGCACGUGUUCUUUCUUAUGAAAAGAGCGCUCCGCGUUCCAACGACAGGUUUCUCUACCACACUUGUGAAGGACAAAACCACAGCCGUUUACUCUUCCCGACACAAAACCAGACUCCAUGGCAGGAAGAGACGACCGUGGCCGGACUUUUUGACUCCCUGGCCGACUCACUCUCCUCCUCCUCCUCCUCCUCCUCCUCUCUGUGACGUCCCUUCCUCAGCCAGCUGCAGCUCCUGAGCUCUUCCUACACUUCCAGACAGACGCAGACAGCACCCACUGUGGGGGCUGGGAGGCCCAAUUUCACAUCCCUCGGAGAAUCCGAUUGGUUCAGCCCAGGUGGGUCCUGCUCCGGCCCGUCAGACGUGCGCGGGCGAUCCCGCAAGCACACCUGUCACUCAGACUGCUGUGAUGGGCCAGGUCUCAGAGAAAACAGCUGGUUCAAGGGCUAAGUGAAUACCCCCAACGUCGAUCUAUUUCAGUAAUUUUCCCUAAAGCAUUUCAGGAAAAUGACAUUUUGAACUACAAAUGGUCCCCAUGUUAUGAUGGUUCAACUUAAGAUUUUUCAACUUUACGAUGGUGCAAAGGAGAUAUGCUUUUAGUAGAAACCUUAUUCUGAAUUUCAAUGUUUCCCCAGGCUAAGCGACAUGCAGCCCGGUGCUCUUGCAGCGAGCCGCAGCCCGUCAGCACCCAAUUGUGAGGUGAACAACCUGUACCCUACAGCGGAUGGUGUUGCCAGACGACUUCGCCAACUGUAGGCUGACAGGUGUCUGAAUGCGUUUAAAGCAGGCUGGGCCAACCUAUGAUGCUCCACAGGGACAGGGUUUGAUCAGAAAGCGCGUAAGGAGGCAGGAGAGUCUUCAGCAGAGACAGCAGAAGGGAUGAGACUGGAGACAAGAACAAGAGGGUGUGCCGGGGACAGAGAGUGAUUGCUCUUCUGGCUCAAUGUUCCUGUCAUUGAGACGUCAGCCAAACAGCGCUCUUUAGAGAGGCCUUCCGUGAGCAGAAAAUGGUUCUACUCCAAGCACUUCGGAACACCAAAUAAAUAAGUAAAUGAUAAUACAACGUAAGAAAAAAAACAAUGAAAAGAACAUGAAGCAAAACCAGAAAUAAACAAAAUCUUCCCAGAUCUCACAUGCUCUCAGAUGUUCUCAGGAAGCCCAGCAUCCAGAAGGCUCCGUGAUAAGCGUGCAGGGCGAGGCGUCCAGCGAAAGCCGUGCCGCUCACACUUGCAGAGAACACCUUCCUCCCACCUCAGCAGGAACAGACUGUCACAAGAUCGCUGCCCUCCUCUUUUUAUCAAAGUCACUUACAAAGGAAAGCUCAACGAUCAGUAUUGCUACGUUACAAGAGGCAAGCAUAUGUCCUUUUCAUCAUGGAUUUAUUCUUCCACAAAGUAAGAAUAAAACAGUUUCACACACACAAAAAAUAACAUAUGACCAAUUUGCGGGCAUUCAUGCCCAUUUGGACAAGUAAAAAAGAGUUAAAAUCGAUAAAUCUGUUCAGACUGCCUGCCUGUAGAUGCUCCAUUAUAUUGUAAAUACUUUUUUCUAUUCCUCUCACUUUUUGCAAGUUACUUUCUAUUCUUAUUUCUCUAACUCUACGAAUAUUAUACAUACUAGUUUUGACAGACUUUGCAUCUAGAAGUUUUCUAUCUUUGCCACACAUUUGAAAGCCUUUAUUUAUGGUCUCUUCCCUGACUCCAAAGGCAUUACUGUCCUCCAAAGAGUUAGAUUCGAACUGUAAGUCCACCAAGAUCGAGAAACGGACACACAGGAGUCUGUCUGGGGUGAGGGCAGGAGGUGGGGGGCGAGGUCAGACGACGGGGAGCCAUGGGGUGAUGUGAGGUGCCAAGAGAGAGGCAGCGCCC